RNAcentral lists this ribosomal RNA (364 nucleotides) under Ompok bimaculatus (butter catfish). RNAcentral's name for it is "partial small subunit ribosomal RNA". The record is from RNAcentral. Lineage: Eukaryota; Metazoa; Chordata; Actinopteri; Siluriformes; Siluridae.
UUACAUACACAUCCGCCAGGUUCUACGAGCUCAGCUUAAAACCCAAAGCACUUGGCGGUGUCUCAGACCCACCUAGAGGAGCCUGUUCUAGAACCGAUAACCCCCGUUAAACCUCACCACUCCUUGUUCCCCCCGCCUAUAUACCGCCGUCGUCAGCUUACCCUGUGAAGGCCUAACAGUAAGCAAAAUGGGCAUACCCAAAAACGUCAGGUCGAGGUGUAGCGCACGAAGUGGAAAGAAAUGGGCUACAUUUUCUGAACACAGAAUAUACGAACAGCACCCUGAAAACAAGUGCUCGAAGGUGGAUUUAGUAGUAAAAAGCAAAUAGAGAGUCCUUUUGAAUUAGGCUCUGAGACGCGCACAC